RNAcentral lists this ribosomal RNA (253 nucleotides) under uncultured bacterium. RNAcentral describes it as "partial 16S ribosomal RNA". It matches the Rfam family "Bacterial small subunit ribosomal RNA", at positions 524 to 776 of the family's 1533-position model. The record is from RNAcentral.
UACGUAGGGGGCGAGCGUUGUCCGGAAUCAUUGGGCGUAAAGCGCGCGCAGGCGGCCGCGAGAGCCCGGCGUGAAAGCCCCCGGCUCAACCGGGGGAGGCCGUCGGGGACCUCGUGGCUGGAGGCCGGCAGGGGUGAGUGGAAUUCCCGGUGUAGUGGUGGAAUGCGUAGAGAUCGGGAGGAACACCAGUGGCGAAGGCGGCUCACUGGGCCGGACCUGACGCUGAGGCGCGAAAGCGUGGGGAGCGAACAGG